UACGGGGGGGGCAAGCGUUGUUCGGAAUUACUGGGCGUAAAGGGUUCGUAGGUGGCUUGCUAAGUCAGACGUGAAAUCCCUCGGCUCAACCGGGGAACUGCGUCUGAGACUGGCGAGCUUGAGUGCAGGAGAGGAACGCAGAAUUCCAGGUGUAGCGGUGAAAUGCGUAGAUAUCUGGGGGAAUACCGGUGGCGAAGGCGGCGUUCUGGACUGCAACUGACACUGAUGAACGAAAGCCAGGGGAGCGAACGGG
This 253-nucleotide ribosomal RNA is filed under the name uncultured bacterium. RNAcentral describes it as "partial 16S ribosomal RNA". It matches the Rfam family "Bacterial small subunit ribosomal RNA", at positions 524 to 776 of the family's 1533-position model. The record is from RNAcentral.